GUGUCAGCCGCCGCGGUAAUACAGAGGUCUCAAGCGUUGUUCGGAUUCAUUGGGCGUAAAGGGUGCGUAGGUGGCGGGGUAAGUCUGGUGUGAAAUCUCGGGGCUCAACCCCGAAACUGCACUGGAUACUGCCUUGCUCGAGUACUGGAGAGGAGAUUGGAAUUUACGGUGUAGCAGUGAAAUGCGUAGAUAUCGUAAGGAAGACCAGUGGCGAAGGCGAAUCUCUGGACAGUUACUGACACUGAGGCACGAAGGCCAGGGGAGCAAACGGGAUUAGAAACCCUCGUAGUCC
Molecule: ribosomal RNA, 292 nt
Filed under: uncultured bacterium
Lineage: Bacteria
Description: partial 16S ribosomal RNA
Rfam family: Bacterial small subunit ribosomal RNA
Source: RNAcentral